Molecule: ribosomal RNA, 464 nt
Filed under: Peptostreptococcaceae bacterium canine oral taxon 071
Lineage: Bacteria; Bacillati; Bacillota; Clostridia; Peptostreptococcales; Peptostreptococcaceae
Description: bacterial SSU rRNA
Rfam family: Bacterial small subunit ribosomal RNA
Source: RNAcentral
GAGUUUGAUUAUGGCUCAGGAUGAACGCUGGCGGCGUGCUUAACACAUGCAAGUCGAACGAAGCGGGAAGGAAGAAGUUUUUCGAAAUGGAUUUUUUCUUUGCUUAGUGGCGGACGGGUGCGUAACACGUAGGUAACCUGCCCUGUGCUUGGGAAUAACUCCGGGAAACCGGUGCUAAUGCCGAAUAAUAUCGCCUGUCGGCAUCGAGAGGCGAUCAAAGAAUUUCGGCACAGGAUGGGCCUGCGCCGGAUUAGCUGGUUGGUGAGGUAACGGCUCACCAAGGCGACGAUCCGUAGCCGACCUGAGAGGGUGAUCGGCCACACUGGAACUGAGACACGGUCCAGACUCCUACGGGAGGCAGCAGUGGGGAAUAUUGCACAAUGGGGGAAACCCUGAUGCAGCAACGCCGCGUGAGCGAUGAAGGCUUUCGAGUCGUAAAGCUCUGUCCUAUGGGAAGAUGAUGA